CAUUAAAAAAUUCAUCCAUUUGUACCAUUAAAAACUAGUGUGGCUGAUAGAAUAAUCGGAGAGUGACACGUGGUGUGCGAUGUGUAUCUCAUACUGAUGUAUAGGGAUUAGUUUUUAUCAGUAAAAACGGUGAAGUUUCUAACA
Molecule: microRNA precursor, 144 nt
Filed under: Gossypium hirsutum (cotton)
Lineage: Eukaryota; Viridiplantae; Streptophyta; Magnoliopsida; Malvales; Malvaceae
Also listed under: 1 other name
Description: MIR7502 microRNA precursor family
Rfam family: MIR7502 microRNA precursor family
Source: Rfam by way of RNAcentral